CCUACGGGAGGCAGCAGUGAGGAAUAUUGGUCAAUGGGCGCGAGCCUGAACCAGCCAAGUAGCGUGAAGGAUGACUGCCCUACGGGUUGUAAACUUCUUUUAUAAAGGAAUAAAGUGAGGCACGUGUGCCUUUUUGUAUGUACUUUAUGAAUAAGGAUCGGCUAACUCCGUGCCAGCAGCCGCGGUAAUACGGAGGAUCCGAGCGUUAUCCGGUUUUAUUGGGUUUAAAGGGAGCGUAGAUGGGUUGUUAAGUCAGUUGUGAAAGUUUGCGGCUCAACCGUAAAAUUGCAAUUGAUACUGGCGGUCUUGAGUGCAGUUGAGGUAGGCGGAAUUCGUGGUGUAGCGGUGAAAUGCUUAGAUAUCACGAAGAACUCCGAUUGCGAAGGCAGCUUACUAAACUGCCACUGACAUUGAUGCUCGAAAGUGUGGGUAUCAAACAGGAUUAGAUACCCGAGUAGUC
RNAcentral lists this ribosomal RNA (460 nucleotides) under uncultured bacterium. RNAcentral's name for it is "partial 16S ribosomal RNA". It matches the Rfam family "Bacterial small subunit ribosomal RNA", at positions 338 to 795 of the family's 1533-position model. The record is from RNAcentral.